CUCUCCAUAGUCUAGUUGGUUUAUGGCGUCUGACUGUAAUUGUGCUAACAAGCAACUUGUCCAUCAGAAGGUCACCGGCUCGAUUCCGGUUGGAGAGA
Molecule: non-coding RNA, 98 nt
Organism: Knufia fluminis
Lineage: Eukaryota; Fungi; Ascomycota; Eurotiomycetes; Chaetothyriales; Trichomeriaceae
Source: the annotation of a GenBank genome assembly